RNAcentral lists this small nucleolar RNA (62 nucleotides) under Euglena gracilis. RNAcentral's name for it is "Eg-m141 box C/D methylation-guide". Lineage: Eukaryota; Euglenozoa; Euglenophyceae; Euglenales; Euglenaceae. The record is from RNAcentral.
CAAAUGAUGUACCGUUUUUGCUUUACCGGAUUCUGCCCUGUGAUGAUGCUCUCCCACUGACC